GAUGCCGAUCAUACCAGCACUAAAGCACCGGAUCCCAUCAGAACUCCGAAGUUAAGCGUGCUUGGGCGAGAGUAGUACUAGGAUAGGUGACCUCCGAAGUUAAGCGUGCUUGGGCGAGA
RNAcentral lists this ribosomal RNA (119 nucleotides) under Hordeum capense. The record is from RNAcentral. Lineage: Eukaryota; Viridiplantae; Streptophyta; Magnoliopsida; Poales; Poaceae.